CAGAUUAUAAAAUUAGUGUAUCUACAAAUCAGAUACAUCUCAGAUGUCACUGAAUGAUUUAAAAUAUUGAUAUAUUUCUGUCAUUAUAAUGCUGAAAUAAUAUACAUGUAUAUGUUAGCCACAUUAUAAGGUUCACAACUCAAGAACUAUGUUUUUAUUAGUUAUAACCAUGAAGGUUAAAAAUGUUUUCAAAAGUGAUGCUGCAAUAAAUAAGAUUACAUGAUACCUUAAUUAUGUUUAUGACGUUACAAUCGCAUUGCCAUUUAUUGUAUAAAGCAUUUCACAAUCAAUUUCAAUCUCUAGGUAGCUUAAACUCCUGUUGAAACAUUUUUUUUCUAGCUAGCUUAUUUGAAUGUAGUACAUGUAUCAAUUUUGGAAAUUUACUCCAAAGUAAUUUAAUAAAUAACUUUUAUGUUUUUAAGGUUUCUUAGAUAUUUUUCAAAUGAAAAAAAUAAAAACAACACUUAAUAUUUUUGUUGACUGUACUUGUCAUGUUUAGUAGACUACAGAAUAAAAUACUGUAAAUUGGUUGUGUUCAUGAUCUUAUGUUAUUGUUAAACACUAAAUGCUCAUGUUUGCUUGAAUCACUAUAUUAUAAACUAAACUAGGUGCUCCGCAGGGCGCAGCUUUAUACGACCCCAGUGGUUGAACCCUGAAUAGUUGGGGCAAAUUUGGUCACAAUAUUCAAGCUUGAUUCUGUCUGAAUUUGGAUUGUGAUCAAAUUUUUGACAUAAUAUAGGUUUUUGUCACAAAAUUAAUGUGGUCAAAGAUCUAACAAAUCCAUUGCACAAUACUGUGCAAUUGAAGAUUUCUUCUUGAAACUUCUUUGAAAAAAAAGGAAGCCCUAUAAAAAAUGGUUAACAAAAAAUCCCCCCAACUUUUUGAACCCCCCUUGGAGCAAUAACCCUUAAACUCAAUCCCAUGCUUUCCAUUGCAGUAUUGAACCUUGUAGUACAAUUUCAGAGAGAUCCAUACCCUUAAACACAAGUUAUUGUCAUGAUUGUUUGGAAACUAGAAUCAUGCUUCUUUUUGGCCCUUUUUUGCCCCCUAAUUCCUACACAUUUUGGGCAAUAAACCCAAAACUUAAUCCCAGCCUCCCCUUUGUUAUAUGGUACAUUGUGGUGCAAUUUCAGAGAGAUCCAUACAAUUACACAUAAGUUAUUGUCUUGAAACUAGAAAAAAGCUUGUUUUUACCCCUUUUUUGCCCUUAAUUCCUAAACUUUGGCUCCAUAACCCCUAAAAUGAAUCCAAACCUUCUACUUGUGGUUUUAAACAUUGCGGUAUGAUUUUAGAGCAAUUGAAAUACUUCUACACAAGUUAUUAUCCUGAAACUAGAAAAAUGCUUGUUUUGGGCCCCUAAUUCCUAAUCAGUUGGGACCAUCAUCCCCAAAAUCAAUCCCAACCUUCCUUUUGAGGUAUUGAACUUUCUGAAAAAAAUUUCAUGAAGAUCUAUUCACUUAAACUAAAGUUAUUAUCCGGAAACCAAUGUGUCUUUGGACGACGACGACACAGACGACGACAUCAUACCAAUAUACUAUCCCAAAAUAUUUUUGGGGUCGUAUAAAAAUGAGUCCAUAAAAUCAGCUUGGAGAACGGACCUCAUUUCAUAAUACUUUAGGAGAAAACAUGUUUGUAGGUUAUAAACAAUUCAGUAUAGCUCACGAAAUUUUGUUUUUUU
RNAcentral lists this long non-coding RNA (1678 nucleotides) under Mytilus galloprovincialis (Mediterranean mussel). The record is from RNAcentral. Lineage: Eukaryota; Metazoa; Mollusca; Bivalvia; Mytilida; Mytilidae.